This is a long non-coding RNA of Cydia fagiglandana, 224 nucleotides long. RefSeq lists it as uncharacterized. Lineage: Eukaryota; Metazoa; Arthropoda; Insecta; Lepidoptera; Tortricidae. The transcript has 3 exons. The record is from RefSeq and is a predicted model, not a curated record.
AGUGUAAAGGUCAUUCAUGUGAUGCCCGGUGCAUCGGCAAAGAGUGCAAUGCAUAUUGCGACAGCGUCUCAUGCCGAUACACCAUAAAUGGCGAAUUGAAAAGUGGCAUGAUCGAGCAAGCCCGGAACCAGCAGCUUCAGCCAAGGAGACCUAAUGCCAGAACUAGUGCGGAAGAUGACGAACUUGGACUCGAAUCUAGUGAACGGAUAGCCCAAGAAUUAAAU